GUUCUGCUCAAGUUUUCUGUUUCAUCAUAAUUCAGUCCUGGUGUUUUGUGUGUCUGCAGGAACUGAUCCAUGUUCACGGCUGCACACCUUCUCUUCCAUCGUCCAGACCCCUGCCCAGGGUCCGUUUGUCAGAAUUAAUGAGCCUGCACUGCCACAGGAAGCCCUACCAACAAUUCCAGUAAAAAUGCUACUGCUGUCCACAAUUCCACGUUCAUAAAGGACAACGCCGCCAGCCAAGCCCCAUGCCAGCCCCUUGGUCAACUCAUCGCCCC
RNAcentral lists this long non-coding RNA (272 nucleotides) under Fukomys damarensis (Damara mole-rat). Its description in RNAcentral is "lncRNA (ENSFDAG00000024397.1)". The record is from RNAcentral. Lineage: Eukaryota; Metazoa; Chordata; Mammalia; Rodentia; Bathyergidae.